UACAGAGGGUGCAAGCGUUAAUCGGAAUUACUGGGCGUAAAGCGUGCGUAGUCGGUUAUUUAAGUCGGAUGUGAGAUCCCCGGGCUCAACCUGGGAAUUGCAUUCGAUACUGGAUAGCUAGAGUUCGGCAGAGGGAAGCGGAAUUUCUGGUGUAGCGGUGAAAUGCGUAGAUAUCAGAAGGAACAUCAGUGGCGAAAGCGGCUUCCUGGACCAGAACUGACGAUCAGGCACGAAAGCGUGGGGAGCAAACAGG
Molecule: ribosomal RNA, 253 nt
Filed under: uncultured bacterium
Lineage: Bacteria
Description: partial 16S ribosomal RNA
Rfam family: Bacterial small subunit ribosomal RNA
Source: RNAcentral